UUCUUGUGUCUUUUUGGGCAGGUGG
RNAcentral lists this microRNA (25 nucleotides) under Equus caballus (horse). Its description in RNAcentral is "eca-miR-9054". The record is from miRBase by way of RNAcentral. Lineage: Eukaryota; Metazoa; Chordata; Mammalia; Perissodactyla; Equidae.